GACGAACGCUGGCGGCGUGCUUAACACAUGCAAGUCGAACGGAAAGGCCCUGCUUUUGUGGGGUGCUCGAGUGGCGAACGGGUGAGUAACACGUGAGUAACCUGCCCUUGACUUUGGGAUAACUUCAGGAAACUGGGGCUAAUACCGGAUAGGAGCUCCUGCUGCAUGGUGGGGGUUGGAAAGUUUCGGUGGUUGGAGAUGGACUCGCGGCUUAUCAGCUUGUUGGUGGGGUAGUGGCUUACCAAGGCUUUGACGGGUAGCCGGCCUGAGAGGGUGACCGGCCACAUUGGGACUGAGAUACGGCCCAGACUCCUACGGGAGGCAGCAGUGGGGAAUAUUGCACAAUGGGCGGAAGCCUGAUGCAGCAACGCCGCGUGCGGGAUGACGGCCUUCGGGUUGUAAACCGCUUUCGCCUGUGACGAAGCGUGAGUGACGGUAAUGGGUAAAGAAGCACCGGCUAACUACGUG
This 468-nucleotide ribosomal RNA is filed under the name uncultured bacterium. RNAcentral describes it as "partial 16S ribosomal RNA". It matches the Rfam family "Bacterial small subunit ribosomal RNA", at positions 28 to 507 of the family's 1533-position model. The record is from RNAcentral.